AAUCUCAACACAGUAGAGUUUCCCUGUGGGAUGAUUGAGGGAUGCAGAUAUGAGGUAAUUAAGUGAUUGCCCAUACCAAUACUGGUAGGGUGCCAGAAUGGAGUCAUAUAAUUAACUCUAUCCUGCACCUAAAGUCCCUUUUCCAAAAAAGUUGUUCAGUUGGAGAUAUUUGAAGGUCCAUAUGGCCAAGGACCACACUGUUUAAUAUUAUAUCUCCAGCAGUUAGCAUAGUGCCCAAUUCAUAGCACAUUUUCAGUAAAUACUUGUUGAAUGAGUAAAUGGAUAUUUAGUUUGGAUUCUAAAGGAUAAGUAAGAGUUUCUCUGAUGCAGAAGGGCUGGGUUCAUUCGGAGUUCUUUGAUUAAAAGCACCAGAAAAUUAUCUGGCUAGCUUAGGAAAAAGGAACUGAUGGGAAACUUGUCUAAAGAACAACUAGAAUCACAGGAAAACUGGAGAAUUAGUCUCAGGAAGCAGGACUGAGCCAGAAAUGGACUAACUCUUCAAGGAUCUUAUGAUGUUUAAAAUUCAAAUUCCAAGAAGAGAGAUAUUAAAUGAUCUGGCUUCGCCUUAAGUGAGGAAGAGGGGACCUGGAGUCAGCCAUAUGAAAUAUACCUGGAUUGAGAAGCCAUGCAGAUGGUUCAUGGGUUGCAGGUAGCACAAGAAAUAGCAGUGGAUACAGGGAAAGAAAAAAAAUCAACACGUGUGCACAGAAGACUUCCAGCAGGAAAGUUCAGUAUGCAAAGGCAGAGUGAUGAGGCACUAGGGGAAUGGUAACUGCCUGGAUGUGUGCAGAGAACUCGUGGCCUAGGCCAGGUGACACUGGGCUUUGUCUGCCAUGUUAAGGGACUUGGACUCUAUUCAGUAGGGUACUGGAUACCAGUAAGAUUUUAAGCUGUGAAGGACAUGGUCAGAUUUGUUUUUUAGAAAGAUUUCCGUGGCAUUUGGAGGGCGAAUGGAGUAGUAAAAGUGACUAGGUGGACAGUGGAAUCUGUCAAUGAACUGCAAAACAGGAGAUACAGAUUCAGGAGAAAGAGCAGUAUACAAGUUGGAGCCUCCAAUGAGCCACUGAAGAAAGAAGAAAGAUUUAAAAUGGGGGUCCAGAGGGCGUGGCCGGCCUGUGCCUGCAGCUGAUCUCCCAGCCCACUCAUUAAUCACCACCACCGCGCCAGCAGGAUGGUAGGCAUCCGGCGGGUGAACCACUGUCUUCCCAGAUGAGCCCAUGGACGCCGCUUGCGUGCUGGCCUCGCGUGGGCCAGUUGAUAUUAAUCGGUGGGACCGGGAGCUCGGGGAGUCCCUCGCGGGAUGGGGUGGGGAUGGUGGGGAGGGAGGUAAGAAAACCUUUGGGCUGGAGUCCUGAACUACCAGUAAGAGUUUUACAGAAGGUGGAGUUUAACAGAUGACUUGGCGAGCAAGCGGAAGCAGCAAGAGGGAAAGAGCUAGGGCUGAGACCUUGCCUGACUGUUUAGGGGAUGCAGAGUCACUUCCUGGAGCGCGGGUUUUGGAGACUGUAGAGAAGGGAGGGGAGGCUGCAGUGGCACGUUAGGGCCAGACAUCCCUUCCCCCACGUGUGUGGAGGGACACGAUCCUAGGACAAAGCUGCACAAGAACCCAGCAGCGAGGACCUGAGACAGCCCCGCAAGAUCGCUGGGGCACUGUUUGGGGCGGGCCUCGGGCUCCCCCUGGGGGUGACGCCCCGCAGUGCGUUCCAGCGAAGACCCGACGUCUGGGCUGAAAAAGACCCCUUCCUCAUUGCCUCUUCUGGUCCUUACUGGGCACCCACCAAGCGCGCCCAGCCGGUAACGCCCCUCUAAGGAGGCUCUGAACCCGGACCUGGCAUUGCAACGGACUCUCGGCUAAUCAGUCUCACGUCUCUGCUAGAGCCGGCCCCGCUCACGCUCAGGAUGAGUUGUAGGUCCUGGAGGUGUUUGGAGGAGGGGACAGGAAGGAGCCAGUCCAUUUUUUGAGAUGGGUACCUGGGAGACGGGCCUGCGCCCACUCCUGGUGAGCUUUGUCAAGGAGUAUCCCGGGAAAUCCAGUCCAGGCCUCUGAUGUGGGGAGACGCGGCCAACUCGGUGAGAAAGCCGUGACUCUCUCAAGAGGGGCCUGUCUCCUGUAAAAUGGAGGCAAUCAGCUUGAACUCCCACACAACAGUUUCACAGACAGCACUGCGCUCGCUUCCUGCUGGGCACUCAGUCACUGUCCUGCUGAAGCAGGAGGAGCCAGAGAUCCGCAAACAAGAACCAAAGCCCUGGCUUCCCUGGAGGCUCAGGGGUAAAGAAUCCACCCGCCAAUGCAGGGGGCACAGGCUUGACCCCUGUUCUGGGAACACCCUACACGCUGCGGAACAACUAAGCCCACACGCCUCAACUUCUGACCCAGUGGCCUAGAGCUCGGGAGCCUCAAGCACGGACCCCCGCGCCCUAGAGCCUGCGCCCCACAGCGGGAGAAACCACUGCAGUGGGCAGCCUGCACACCACACCUAGAGCAGUCCCCGCUCUCGGCAACUGGAGAAAAGCUUUCACAGCAACGCAGACCUGGCACAGCCAAAAAUAAAUUAAUUAAAGAACC
Long non-coding RNA from Bubalus bubalis (water buffalo), 2566 nucleotides. RefSeq lists it as uncharacterized. The transcript is spliced from 4 exons. NCBI's taxonomy places the organism in Eukaryota, Metazoa, Chordata, Mammalia, Artiodactyla, Bovidae. The record is from RefSeq and is a predicted model, not a curated record.